GCGCUCGUUGCUCAGUCGGUAGAGCGGUGGAUCGGUGAUCCACAGUCCCGGGUUCAAGUCCCGGCGGUCGCU
Molecule: non-coding RNA, 72 nt
Organism: Phthorimaea operculella (potato tuberworm)
Lineage: Eukaryota; Metazoa; Arthropoda; Insecta; Lepidoptera; Gelechiidae
Source: the annotation of a GenBank genome assembly